Zingiber officinale is the source of this 687-nucleotide long non-coding RNA. RefSeq lists it as uncharacterized. Lineage: Eukaryota; Viridiplantae; Streptophyta; Magnoliopsida; Zingiberales; Zingiberaceae. The record is from RefSeq and is a predicted model, not a curated record. The transcript has 4 exons.
CGAACCGAACCCGUGCUCUUCUCCUCUCCUUGGGAUUUCCGAUCUCCUUCUUCCCCUCUACUUCUUCUCGCCGCCUCUCUCUCGCGGGCGACCCGACGCCGACGACGCUAGGGAGCAGAUCGCCGGCGGAGGUCUUCUUCUCCGGAGCCUCACCAAUGUUAGGUUCCCUUGGCCACUAGCGGCCGAUUCUCUUUGGCCAGCGGCCGAUCCUCUGUGCUCUUUCUCGCGGACGAGUGAUGCCACGAGAUUAGGGUUUCCAGCUCCGGCGAUCUUUCCCCGCCGACAUCAGCAUCUAUUGAGCUUCGAUUCAGCCGCAGACCUUCUCUCUCGCGGACGGCCGACGACCUCUCGGUGGCUAGGGCACGGCGAGGAGCCGGAUCUUGCAUCCUCUUCAACCGCUCUGUUCCAGUGUCGUUGCCGGCUUUGAAGGUAAGCAACCUAUUCCUUCUCGUCUCUUGGUUGUCGCCUAUCUUUGAGCAAAGUGGGGUUUCUAUGGAUUCGAAGUUCUAUUCCUGUGGAGUUUUUCUUUGGCUUCAGCAGUAGCUAUCCUUCCGGCAGCAAUCAUCCACGAUUGAGGAUCAACAGAGAGUGAAUUGUUGAUCUCUUCUCUUGAUCCGAUCGGUGAGGACUCUGAUUCGAGACGGCGUCUCGACGUCGACUUCGGAUUUGGGAUUGUACCUUCUAUUU